Molecule: ribosomal RNA, 741 nt
Filed under: uncultured Corynebacterium sp.
Lineage: Bacteria; Bacillati; Actinomycetota; Actinomycetes; Mycobacteriales; Corynebacteriaceae
Description: bacterial SSU rRNA
Rfam family: Bacterial small subunit ribosomal RNA
Source: RNAcentral
GACGAACGCUGGCGGCGUGCUUAACACAUGCAAGUCGAACGGAAAGGCCCUGCUUGCAGGGUGCUCGAGUGGCGAACGGGUGAGUAACACGUGGGUGAUCUGCCCCUUACUUUGGGAUAAGCCUGGGAAACUGGGUCUAAUACUGGAUAGGACCAUGCUGUAGGUGGUGUGGUGGAAAGAUUUUUUCGGUAAGGGAUGAGCUCGCGGCCUAUCAGCUUGUUGGUGGGGUAAUGGCCUACCAAGGCGUCGACGGGUAGCCGGCCUGAGAGGGUGGACGGCCACAUUGGGACUGAGAUACGGCCCAGACUCCUACGGGAGGCAGCAGUGGGGAAUAUUGCACAAUGGGCGCAAGCCUGAUGCAGCGACGCCGCGUGGGGGAUGACGGCCUUCGGGUUGUAAACUCCUUUCAGCCAUGACGAAGCCUCUUUUGGGGUGACGGUAGUGGUAGAAGAAGCACCGGCUAACUACGUGCCAGCAGCCGCGGUAAUACGUAGGGUGCGAGCGUUGUCCGGAAUUACUGGGCGUAAAGAGCUCGUAGGUGGUCUGUCGCGUCAUUUGUGAAAGCCCGGUGCUUAACUCCGGGUUGGCAGGUGAUACGGGCAUGACUGGAGUACUGUAGGGGAGACUGGAAUUCCUGGUGUAGCGGUGAAAUGCGCAGAUAUCAGGAGGAACACCGGUGGCGAAGGCGGGUCUCUGGGCAGUAACUGACGCUGAGGAGCGAAAGCAUGGGUAGCGAACAGG